This 26-nucleotide non-coding RNA is filed under the name Homo sapiens (human). Lineage: Eukaryota; Metazoa; Chordata; Mammalia; Primates; Hominidae. The record is from RNAcentral.
UCCCUAAACAGCCCCUCACAUUUCCA